UGUCAAAUGACCUACUCUACCAGCCAAGUAAAAACCUAACUACAUUGACCAUCAAAACAUGAUUUUAAAGAAUGAAAUCUAGCAAGAGUAGACCACAAACAGACCCAAUUGACUAACUACUAGAAAUACAUAUUUCUGUUUACCAACUUCUCAUGUUAUAGCCUACCAAACGUAUCAGAUUCAAAAGUCCGAUUUCAUAAGCUGCAUU
RNAcentral lists this long non-coding RNA (208 nucleotides) under Nicotiana benthamiana. Its description in RNAcentral is "long non-coding RNA (NBEN_LNC000270)". The record is from RNAcentral. Lineage: Eukaryota; Viridiplantae; Streptophyta; Magnoliopsida; Solanales; Solanaceae.